UCCCUGAUGGCUUAGAUGGUAAAGAAUCCACCUGCAAAGUGGGAUACCUGGGUUCAACCCCCGGGUUGGGAA
Molecule: transfer RNA, 72 nt
Filed under: Capra hircus (goat)
Lineage: Eukaryota; Metazoa; Chordata; Mammalia; Artiodactyla; Bovidae
Also listed under: 1 other name
Rfam family: tRNA
About the family: Transfer RNA (tRNA) molecules are approximately 80 nucleotides in length. Their secondary structure includes four short double-helical elements and three loops (D, anti-codon, and T loops).
Source: Rfam by way of RNAcentral